This 384-nucleotide ribosomal RNA is filed under the name uncultured Ochromonas. RNAcentral's name for it is "SSU rRNA". It matches the Rfam family "Eukaryotic small subunit ribosomal RNA", at positions 585 to 972 of the family's 1831-position model. Lineage: Eukaryota; Chrysophyceae; Chromulinales; Chromulinaceae. The record is from RNAcentral.
CCAGCUCCAAUAGCGUAUACUAAAGUUGUUGCAGUUAAAAAGCUCGUAGUUGAAUUUCUGACUUUGAGGCGCGGUCGGCCCCGUGUGGGUUUGUACCUGCGAAUCGAGGUCAUCCUCGAGGAAUGCGUAUCUGUCAUUCAGUUGAUGGGUACGAGUACCUCGUCAUUUACUGUGAGCAAAAUAGAGUGUUCAAAGCAGGCUUACGCCGUUGAAUACAUUAGCAUGGAAUAAUAAGAUAGGACCUUGGUCUAUUUUGUUGGUUAGUACUCCAAGGUAAUGAUUAAUAGGGACAGUUGGGGGUAUUCGUAUUCAAUUGUCAGAGGUGAAAUUCUUGGAUUUAUGGAAGACGAACUACUGCGAAAGCAUUUACCAAGGAUGUUUUCA